RNAcentral lists this ribosomal RNA (273 nucleotides) under uncultured bacterium. Its description in RNAcentral is "partial 16S ribosomal RNA". It matches the Rfam family "Bacterial small subunit ribosomal RNA", at positions 793 to 1055 of the family's 1533-position model. The record is from RNAcentral.
GUCCUAGCCAUAAACGAUGGGCACUAGGUAGGGGAGGCACCUAUGUCUUCCUCUGCCGGAGCUAAUGUGUUAAGUGCCCCGCCUGGGGAGUACGCUCGCAAGGGUAAAACUCAAAGGAAUUGACGGGGGCUCACACAAGCGGUGGAGCAUGUGGUUCAAUUCGAAGCAACGCGAAGAACCUUACCUGGCCUUGACAUGCUGGAAUUAGCCCUGUGAAAGCGGGGUAACAGCUCUUCGGAGCCGGAACCAGUACAGGUGUUGCAUGGCUGUCGU